CUACUAUUCGAUACAACGACUGGAACCACACCACAGCAGCCAUCGCGGAUCUCUUCGCCGAUCCAUCCCCACCCCACCUGCCUCCUUCCUGAUCCCGACCUCCCGAACCCUACCUCGACGCCAACCGCGCCGCCGCCUCCUUCGACCCACCACUCCGUUCCAUUGAUCCACUCCGCGACGGCCAGUUCUCGCGGCAGUCGCCGCCCGCUCUUCUCCUCCUGGUCCACCUCCCCACCAAGCUCUCUCUCCUAGAUCGUGAGAUGGUAGCGGAGGCACAUAGGUUUCGGCUUCUCCACUAAUGGCGAUAUCAAGAGCUGGUGGAGGCCGGCCAAUGGACACGUCUCUCGCCCUCGCACGUAACGAAAAAAAUCAGCCAACAUGCCUCCCCUCGAUCCGUUUCCAACGCGGAUAGUCAAAGACGCCCCAGCCGCCAUAGCGGAGUCCUUCGCCGACACCGAGGUACGACAGGAGCCGACGCCCUCAUCCCUCUCUUUUCACACUCGCCUAUUUAGCUGGUCGUUGCCUCUCAGCGGUGACUACCCUAGCGGCGGUUGCGGGAAAGAUGGAUCCUUAUCCUCCCGAAAAUAGACUCGGCGCCCUCGUGGUUUGUAGCGGCACACUCCCUUCCCACGCCGCCGAAGAGGCCCCCAGGGCGGCCGACGACGCCUUUAGCGGCCUUCCGGAGACACAGCAAGUCUGGCCUACGGUGGGGUGGCGGCAUGCGCAGCAUGGUCGUCGUUUGAUUCAGGAGCGACCUCCGGCUGCUGAACAACCAGUCACUGGAGCACGUGUGGAUGGCCUCUGGCACUGUCCUCACCAAUGGAGGAGCCUCGCCUAUGCUGCAGUGCUGCAGGGCGGUGGUCGGGGUGGUCCGCACCGGCGCCUACAAUGUGUGCCUCAUCCUAACUGGCAAAGUGAUCUUCAGCCUCCCCAUCAACUACACCCUCGGCAUCUCCCUUCCGAGGAUCUGCAAGUCACUCCCCGUCCCGCUCGUUUGUAGAAUACGGCGACGCAGAUCCUAGCUCCAGAUGUCUUAAAUUCUCCUUUGUUGACCUUGCCUUGACAUCGCCUCGAUGUCUCGCAAUUCUUCCGCACUGUUGCCACCGGAUUCGUCGGUUGAUGAGAAGGCGCUGUUGCCGUGAGUGGAAUCGACGCCGAUCAUGCAGGGGCAGAGAUAGGUGGUGGUACCCAUCAUGCGUUGGUAGAUAUGUUUUUGCAAGUCUGUGUUACACUUGGUAUUGUGUGCGUAUGUAUGUAGUUAGACAAGUAAAUCUGUUUCAUGGAGGAGAGAGUGCAGCUCUGUGAAGAGUUCAUGAAUACUUCUGAAAGAAUGAUCAGCUGACAGUCUAUAAAAGGUAUAGAAAUGGCAUGCUUGGUCCAAAGUACAACAGUUUGUUGGCUUGCUUCGGACAGUCUUUCGCCGUGCUAUAUUUGUCAAGAGGUAAUGACAUAUGAGAAGCAAAGAGGAUCAAAUGAUUCCACAUACUGGGUAUUAUUUGAACUGAUAUGGGGGGCUACUUCAGAUUCCUUUUCAGCAAAAUAUGGGAACUCCAUUUUCUUGCAAGGGUAACCAUAGCAUCUACAUUGCUUUAUGCCUGAAACUGAGAGCUUUGGAACAGUGCUAUGCGCUAUUGGACAAGUAGAUACAGAGAUACCUAUCAUUGGUGGUCAGCAGCAAAUACGAGAAAUGUUAGAUACAUCCACACUCUUUCUUGAUCUAUGGUUAAUCCCCCUCUUGCCUACCAUAAGCUCUUGGUGAAUUACCAGAUUAAGCGGAAGUGCUAACCUAUUGUUGGUAGCAGUAGGAGAUGUUGAUGUUCCAUGGAAUUGUUAAUCCCGUCUCCAAGUUUUAAUGUUUGAUCUGCGUGUUAUUGACCUAAGAGAAAAUGGGUUCUGAAGCUUCGAUAUGAUGUAUUUCUAACAAAUAGCGACAAAAUCAAUACCUCACACGGGCAAUUACUCUUAUAUGGUUUGAUGCUUGAAAAAUUGUAGAGUCAGCACCUCUUAUUAAAGUGUACACGAUGCAAUAAAAAAAGCAUCUUGAGUACCAUGCCCAGGUACAGUUUUAAUGCUUAUAGCUGUAUUUUGCUCCAUUAGAAAAUACAACUAUAUUUUAUUCCUGAUAGGGCAAUCUUAUACGGGGAAAAUUACUCCUGAAUGUGUACAACUAUAUAAUGUUCCUACAGAUGUAUUUUGUUCCAUUAAAAACAUAGUAUUUCUGCUAUCUCAGUUGGAUGGCCACUGUUAUGUCAAUUUGAUGGCCACUAUGUUUUGCUACGGCAGAAGAUUCAACUAUAUUUUGCUAAUACAAGUACAACACUCAACCUCUGCUAUGCCAAUUCGAUGGCCACUACAUAUUCAGACGGGCAAUGAACCAAAUAACUCUUUCACUGGGCCACUGAUAAUAUUAUUGGUCGAGCUGAUUAGGGAAGUAAACUAUAUACAACAAUAAAGUGAAGUUGAACUGUUUAGAGAAGUAAAAUAUACAGAAGUAAUCUGAAGUACACUUGGAUCCAAAAGAUGUUGGUGGAAAUACUUCAACAAGCUUGAUGCAUUCAUUAUUCUGUAAUACUAGGAUUAACAAUGAUGUCGCUGUUGGUUACUUUGCAGGUAACAAUGUUACGCUGAUGACAUAGUUUAUUUAGCUCUCAAGAAUGGCUGCUUAUCGUUCAAGAAUCUGGACAACUACUUCUAUUUCGUAUUCAUACUAAAACUUCUAUGAAGCAACAAAUUUUCCUUCUUGUGAAUUUGUUCUGAAGCUACUAAAAUAUCCCCUUGUACUAAAAUAAGAUUUCUACUCAAAUUUUGUCAAGAUACUAAAUUUUACUUGCUUGCUCAUGCCUUAAAAUCUACCUUGUUGCCGAAAUUUAAUGAGGAGCUCAAGGGAAAAAAUGAACCAAGGAGAAGGGAUCCAGAGAAGGAGAAUUAAGAUGUGCCUUUCACUUAUAAUUUCUAAACACUACAGGAAUCAUGAUAUCGUGUUAGCAUAAUUGCAUGGUUACGUGUUAGAAGUGUGAAUGUGGGAGGCUUGGCCGGGGGAUUGUGAGCUGGAGAUUGUGGAGGAAAAUAAACAAGACUGAUUUGACUGUAAAAAAAUGUUGAUGUGCUUUUUAUGAAAUAUUUGGCCAAUCAUGUGUUGCAACGUGGGCACAUAUUUUCAUAGUUCUAUAUCAGUCAUAUCUGACAGAGAUCUGGAUGUUCGGUAUAUGAUAUGUAGUAUACUAUGCAGACCGCUGUUAAAUAUCAUAUACCCAGCCCGUGUACUACAUAUCAUAUAUCCACUCUGCACACUACAUAUCAUAUACCCAGUCUAAUGAACCAUGCGGUUCUGGCAUGAAGAAAAAUCCGUAUAUGGAUUUUUUUUCAUGGUUCAUGGGACCAACAACAUUGAAAGAGCAUUUCAGCUGUAUGAUUAGGCUUCUUGAAUUCUGACGUGGAGUAUGUGAUCGCGAGCUCACAGGAGCUCGGAAUCACGCCCGUCCAGAAUUGCUAUGAGAUUCGUCGCAUUAAAUGCUAUAGCCAGUUGGUGGGUCCAUGCCGACAAAGGAAAAUUAGGAUAUACGGCACAAUACGCGUCUGACAGAUGGGGCAAGGUGGACGGAGGGGUGCACGGCGUCGCCUGUGCAUGCCUGAGCCGUGGCUCGAGCUUGUCGCAGGCGUCCUGAUCCGUGGAUCAGGUACGGUGCUUUCUGCUAGCGCCGGCAGUGCCCGAACUAAAUGCAGUAGUUGGGUCAGUCGCUGGUUACGGGGGUGAAGUUGGAUUUGCCUCUCGUCCCGGUCGGUGAAGAGGUGGAGAUAUUUACUCCGGCGACGGCGACUGGGCGGUGCAGCGACCUCGGACAGGCUCCGGCGACCAUGGAGUUCUUACUGCAGCCGCUAAACAGUAGAACAUUCCUGGAAGAGGUGAAUGAUAACAACGGGGCAAUGGAGCCCGUGCGGUUCCCAGUAUCCGCGGUGGCUGAGGUUGAGGAUCCAGCACCGGCCGCUUCAAGUGCUGACGGGCAGAUCUGCGGGGCGGAGGCAGCAGGCGCGGACAUGGCUCAGUGCUCCGAGCACUCAAUGGAGCAAAUUGACCCAAAAACACCAGGGCGGACGCAAAGAGUGCAUGUAGGUGCUGCUGCUCUACGAAGGCCUCCGUGCCCGGACAGGGUCACGGCGCUGGAGAAGACUGACAGGGAAUUUGCCGAGCAUCCAGGUGACAUAGUUAUGGUGCCAAAGAUUGGAACAAAUUUUGACACGCUCGGAGAAGCUUAUGACUUUUAACUCCUGGAAGAAAGGAUUUGGAAUACGAUAUGGAAAGAGCAGGCUAAACGUUAGCAGGACUAAGUGUAUGCAAGAUAUAGUCUGUGGAUGCGCGGGGAAGCCAAUCGUUGAAAAUACUCGUUCAUGCCGGUGUGAAUGCCCAGCCCUCAUCAGACUACUGCGGACAAAGGACAAUGGAUGGUACGUAGCAGAGCACCGAGAUGGGCACAACCAUGCACUUUCCCAAACAUAUGGACAGACAAUACACUGGCCUACGGCAGUGAGCGCGGAAGCACGGAUCUGCGUGAUGGACACAGCAGCGGUGGUCAAUGAGGGACAGCUCGCGUCAGGCCUCGGAGCUCUGAACUGGAAAGAUGAAUCCACAUGCUUCUAUCUGGAAUUAGAGGAUAAAGCUGGUGUUGAGAACACGAGGUCUUGUCGUUGCGAAUGCCCGGCUCUAAUAAGACUGCUACGGGCAGAGGACAAUGGGUGGUACAUUGCAGAGCACAGAGAGAGUCACAACCAUUCCCUUUCACUGAAUUUGGGUGAGACGAUCCACUAGCCCUCGCACAAGCACAUAGAUGUGUUCGGCUGGUGACUACAUGUUCUCGUCUCUUUGAUCGUUCUUUUUUCAGAUCUGAAACUGCACUGCAUCAGUGGUGAUUGAACUCAAGUUCUCGCCGGAUUUCCAUUGAUUGAGGAGGUGGACGGCACGUAAUGCUUGAGGUGUCCGUCUAGGACACCGGUGGCCGCGGAUGCCAUUGAUGUCCAUCAGGUGUCGACAGCAGCCAUUAGUGCCGAAGGGCAGGUCUGUGAGCUGGCUGCUAGUGUGGGCUCCGGGAAGGAGAGCUCCCCGCCGGAAUUGGAGCUGUCUGCGGGGAAACUCAAUCCGCAAGCACCAUGGUUGGCAAUGAGCAGGAUUCGCAUUGGAUCAGCGAGUCCAUUUAGAGGCAGCGUGGUCAAGUUAGCCGGACUGUGGGCGCCCGCAAUAAUAAAAGAGAUUGGGAGACCAUGCAGACCUGCUCACUGCAAGAACCACGGUGUACAGGGUCACUCGAGAUUUUUUUUGUACAAGCCGGGUGAAAUGAGACUGGGUUCAGGGGCUUGAGUCGGCGUUCAUGCCAAAUGGUUAGACAGUUGGGUUCGAAUUCCCUCCAGUUGUGCAUCACAAAGAGUUUUUAGUUAUGUCAACGUGCGUGUGUUAUUUCUGCUGUAAUGAUCCUCUAUUUCCUUUGUGGACAAAGAAUUGGCUCAAUGGGACUAAUAUGGUACGUGAAUUUUAGACUGAACGACAAUUGAUGUGCAUCUAAACUUCA
Long non-coding RNA from Triticum aestivum (bread wheat), 5558 nucleotides. RefSeq lists it as uncharacterized. The record is from RefSeq and is a predicted model, not a curated record. The transcript has 11 exons. Lineage: Eukaryota; Viridiplantae; Streptophyta; Magnoliopsida; Poales; Poaceae.